AUGAAUGCGGUCAACCACUUCUCGAGCUUGCACACCUCAAACCUCCAUUGGCUCAACUCGGCGAACAUUUCCCUCAUUCCUAAGAAAGACGGGGCGGAGUGCAUCUCUGAUUUCUGCCCCAUUAGUCUUAUCCAUGCCAUUACAAAGAUUAUAGCUAAGAUGAUGGCUUCGCGUCUUGCUCCACACAUGCAAAGUCUUGUCUCAAAUGCGCAAAGCGCUUUCAUCAAGAAGAGGAGCAUCCAUGAUAAUUUCAUGUAUGCGAGAGGUUUGGCGAGAAAGUUGCAUCGCAACAGGACCCCAACUAUGCUCUUCAAGCUUGAUAUCAAGAAAUCUUUUGACUCUGUGAGAUGGGACUUCCUCUUGGAUCUUUUAAGGCAUCUGGGCUUUCCAAGUAGAUUUUGCGACUGGGUUUCCUCCUUCCUUUCCACGACAUUGUCGAGGGUUUUGAUCAAUGGUGUGUUGGGUGAUCCGUUGAAGCAUGGCCGUGGUCUCAGGCAAGGGGACCCGCUAUCCCCCCUGUUGUUCGUUUUGGCGAUUGAUCCUCUACACUACCUUCUCAACAAAGCCACGACCCAAGGGCACCUCUGA
This 588-nucleotide ribosomal RNA is filed under the name Triticum aestivum (bread wheat). RNAcentral describes it as "partial small subunit ribosomal RNA". Lineage: Eukaryota; Viridiplantae; Streptophyta; Magnoliopsida; Poales; Poaceae. The record is from RNAcentral.